UUUUAAACAUAUUUUUGCAUGCCGGUUGUUAAGUUAAAGCAAGUGAUAACUAUAGCAACAACUGCAAAAACACUAAUUCUUAUCAAUAAAUAAAAAACGAAUUAUUAAAAAUUUAAAACAACAAAAACAUUCCCUGCACUACGGCAAUGGGCUGGCAGAAAAAAAUGAACGUAACAUUUGAUAACUAUAAAUUUUAACAACAAAAACCACAAUAAAACAUAUAAUCAUUACAAAAAAAAACUAUAAAAAACUUACUGAAAAAAUAAAAUAGUUUAAAGUACAAAGUGCAGUAAAAAAACAACAACAAUAAACAAUAUAAAUCAUAAAGCAACAACAGCAGACAUCAGCCGAACACUCAGCUGCAGCAUAAAACCGGCAA
Lucilia sericata (common green bottle fly) is the source of this 379-nucleotide long non-coding RNA. RefSeq lists it as uncharacterized. Lineage: Eukaryota; Metazoa; Arthropoda; Insecta; Diptera; Calliphoridae. The record is from RefSeq and is a predicted model, not a curated record. The transcript is spliced from 2 exons.